UGUGAAAUAUAUUUAUUAUAUAUAAUAUAAAAUAUACAAAAAUAUAAAUUUAAAAUCGUAUAGAUGAACUUAUCCAGUAUGGCCUUUUACAUUCUAAUGUUUUCCAUUCUAGUUUAGGUUACCUAGGAUCUGGAUUUGGCUAAUAAACAAUGACCAAGGGGCACCUGGUUGGCUCAGUCUCUUAAGCCUCUGAUUUCAGCUCAGGUCAUGAUCUCGCAGUUCAUGAGUUUGAGCCCCGCAUCGGGCUCUGUGCUGGCAGCUCAGAGCCUGGAGCCUGCUUCGGAUUCUGUGUCUCCCUCUCUCUCUGCCACUCCCGUGCUCACACACUGUCUCUCUCAAAAAUAAAUAAACAUUAAAAAAUAAAUUUAAAAAAAAAUGACCAAGCCAUUGAUCCAGGAAAGAAGGAUGGGCAGAGGAUGAUUACAGAUAACUCUGCUCUGAAAUUUCCUCCCUUAUUCCUGCCACACCUGCACCUAGAGUUUUCCUUAAUCGUAGGAAAUACGCAUGUAUUUUCUGUGGCUGCGGCUUCUAUUUUCUGUGACGACUGGCCAGUCAGCUCAAGUCACAGGUCCAUUGGAAAUCCUUUGUGCCUCCUACCCACUGGCUGACAGUGGUGUUUACCUCGGACCCUACAGCUGACCUCCGAGGCUUCCCAGGUGUGCAUGGCCUGGAACAGAAACCUCAGUUUGUUGGCAGCCACAGGUGUGGAUAAUUUGUUUUUUCUUUUCUCAUUUGUUUAGAUUCUUGUGGUAGGAAUUCAGCAGGUGUGUAAUGCUAGCAUAGAAUCUCUACUUGGCACAGAGGCCAGCUACCCUCAAAAAAAAAGAUGUUCUUAUUGGUCUUGCAACCCUGCCAGUUUGGAUCCCCGUUUUCCUGGAAACCUCACGCAAGGGCAAGACUCUGCCUAACCGGUGAGUUAGGAUAAGCUCAUCUCAGAAGAUGAGCGUGAAGAAUCUCCGUUUGGGAACCUUAUCAAUGGGCAGGAGCAGGUUACCUAGUGCUGCCCUUUGUGGGUUUUGUUUUUCCUUCUCUUUUCCUUUGUAAUGUGAGCGGCCACCGUUGCAGUUACAGGGAUGUGGGAAAUCCUGGACUUGGUUUCUAAGGAGAUAUAAGCCAGGCUAGGAUGCUCUUGUUGACACGUAAAUAUCUGCUCAUUUGAUGGAGACUAAACAGGAGAAGCACAGACAGAGAUUAGUCCACUGUGCAGGGUCCUUCCAUCUUCCUGCUGUCUCCUCAGGAAGUCACUAAUCCCAGGACCCAAUUAUUUCAGUAGAGGGCCAGGUGAACUUGGAGGUCAUCCCUGACCAUGUCUAACUUUAACCGGGGGACAGAGGGAGGGAGCUAUGGUAACACUGGGGGAACCAGUUGGCUAAGCCAAGAGCCACUGUCAUCAGUCUGUCAGCAGUGUGGUACUGGGGCCAGAGAACCUUCUCUCUUGGCCCUCCUUGCAAAAACAUUUGUACAAUGGCUUCUCCUGGCUAGGUCGUGAUAUCUAAAGAAAUAGACACACACACAACCUUCUAUUCCUCAGUUUUCCUUUAUUAUGGAUUGUUCUCCAGUUUUUGUUUUUAGAAUCAAAGUUGGAGUUUAUUUGAUGUUGUUUUUACUUGCAUACCCAUAAUAUAAGACAGGGGCUAAGGGGGCAGGGAGGUCACAGUGAUUUGCCCUAUGGGCCCUAUACUUCUCUGAAUGUAGGCAUUGGUCAUCUAUUCCCUUCAGGUAAUACAAAUGCACCACAAUGAAAUGAUGACAUAUGUCAGAGGAACAUUUGUCUCAGAGGGCAGCAGAUGGGAUCUGUAAAUCAUACUUGGAGAAAAGGGUGUCACAUGUGAGUAUCAGAUAGCCAGUAGACUAGUCUUUCAUUCUGCAUGUUAACCUUCUACAAAUGCAGAUAUUUAUGUUGAUAUACGUCUGAUAUAACAGCACUGGCUGAAGAGCACUGAUAGUAAUAAUCCAGAGAAGUAAACAUUAAACAUCGCAUGGACCAUUAAAAUCAAUUUCACAGCCGCUAUAUUUUUGUAGUGGCAUUUCAUGUAUUCAUCUUUAGCUCUUGCUGAUGUAUUGGUUUAAUCGUGGCAUCUCUUGAGAAUCUAGUUUUUCUGAAAGAAUACGUAAGUGAGAUAAAACCUUUACACUGAGCUCCACAAUCGAGGAUGGUCAAUCAUAUGUCCAGCAUUUGGGUAGAACUUACUUUAUAUCCAAGUCAUUGCCCCCCUUAAGAGAUGAGGAGGGAUUAAAAAUAGCUCUGUUGCCCAAUGGAUGAUACUCGAAAAGAAAAAGAAUUAUCAUUGUGUUUAAUAAGAGAACUGACAAGCAAUCAUAAUUCUUUCCAUUAAGUAAAUAUGUUAGAAAAAUUUAUUAUGAAAUGACACAUUAUGCGAGCCAGGAAUCAAAGAUGACAUCCUUGCAUUAAAUACGGUAGAUGCCAUUAAGGAAAACAGUCAAUAUGUCACCAAGCCAUGGCCUGUAAAAAUUAAAUUGAUUUGGUAAAUGUAAGUAAGAUAGAUCUGUUUGCUUUCAUCAUCAAUUUUGAGUGGGUGAACAGGUGAUGUCACCAACCUGGGAGCGAUAAAGAUGCAGGACCAUCUGGAAAGGCAGGUGAUGAAUGGGCAACUGCUUUUGGAUAGUGACAGUGCUGUGGUACUUUGUCACUUGGGAUGCAGUACUUAAUAACUUUUCAAUACCAUCAUAAUAAAUUUCACUGCCUUAUUAAUAUAGAAAUGGUGAGUUAUUACUAUGAUGGGGAAUGUAAAUAACGGGAGACGCAGCCGUCAAAAGCUGAUUGUUUGGGCAUGUUUCUUUAAGCAACACGGUUGACUCGUGAUAAUCAACCUAUGUCUAUACCAGUAGAGUUUAUUGCACUUGUCAAAGGAAAAAGUAGUAUUAUUCAAAAUUAUAUGAAGUCGUAAUAAACAAGUUUAAUAUAUUAUCAGACUUUUCCUGUAAGUUUCCAAACAUGAGGCAGUAAAUCAUUUUUAAUAAUGUCUUUUCAUGUAAAAUAAUGUCCUUAUGCAGUAAUAAUGUCCUUUCUUAACUAUUAACAAAACAGUCGACUUCUUUGUAUGUGUUUUAAGGGGUAUUUUUAUUUGUACUUUUCAAUCAUUUUCUUCUGCAAAUAAAGAGCUACGGCAGGAACCUUAGGACGUUUCAUUAACAAGCUUGAAAGUUGCUGAGUACAGGCCAUGUCACGCAUUUCCAUUUUAAUUGAACAGAUGUACUUAAGAGUAAACCACAGCAAACGAAAUACAGACGAAAUUAUAAACACGUGUCACUGGGCAGUAGGCAGGAAAGAACCUCUGAUGAGCAUCUGUGUGUAUUUUAUGAAGCCAAGGACUGCCACUUCAUAAGUUCGUCACUGAUGUCUCCAGUUUAAUGAGAAGAAACAAAAUAUGUAGAUAGGUGUAAGUUGAAGAUGAAUUAGUAGAUCAAUCACUUAGCACCAUUCAGGGUGUCUGCCGUUGCGCGGUGGGAAAAUAAUUAGAUCUGAGAUGCUGUUCUUAUUUAUAGGCCGGCUGUUCGAUGUGGGAUGGAAUAUGGGAAACUUCCUCUUUCAUGUCACUGUGGUCUUUAUAUUGUUUCUUGGCCAGGCUGACUUUUAAUUCUGACAUUGUCUUUCAGGCUGCAGUCGGCCAGCCUCUUUCUUAAAUGAAAUGCCUCUCCACCAUUUCUAUUACUGCUGAAAAGAGAGCCAGCAGUCUAUUAACAGGCAAUAAAGUUCAGGAAGCCCAGGACUCAUUUCUUGGGUCAGAGGUGAAAAUUGCAAUACUAAAUGAAACAAAGGUGUGCCUUGAUCGCUCAAGAAGCAGCACCAGAAAGAACACACGUGUUGUUAGCCAGAAGUCUCCCACUUAAAGGGAAAGGAAUAAUCGUAAUAAUGUUGGCCGAUGGAGUUAAGUACUCAGUUGAGAGAAAUUAUAUCAAUCUGACAAAUAUAGCCUUCACAGGAGAUAAAGUCUCUAAUGACCUUAAAUGCAUAUAUUUAUCAUUUAAUUCAACAAGCCAAUUCCCUUGGGCUUUUGACCAACGACAUUUCCCCUCAAGUUUGGAAAUUUUUUACUAGCCCAGAGAGUAAUGGUUAUUUGUCAGAGGGUUCCAAAGCUAAACGCAGUUGGAAGCAAAGAAUGGGAGAGAAGGAAAAAAAUGGCUAAUAGAGUCUUUCUACCUCAGAGAAUAUUAAUCCGAACUUUCAUUGAUGCGAGCGCUGCAGCAUUUCGUGGCUGAACAGUAGGUGGCAGACAUUGUAGUGAAGAAAUGGGGAAAUUUUAAUCUAAGCAAUUUUCAUCUGAUUUCAUUAACUUCCAGAUAUGUCAUCAGUGUGCACAGCACAUUAAUUUGCAAAAAAAUAGGAACACUAAAUAGUUGUGAAAUGUGCUAGUUGAAUGUGGAAAAAUCAAAAGGGUCCUACAGAAAUAAAAGCAAAAGUUCUAAUGUUUCAUCAGGUAAAGUGUGUGUGAAACAGGAAAGCCCAAAGAAUAAAGGGGCCCUUGUGUAUGGUGGGCUUUUCCUCACUGUUAUUCUUGGUCUCAACUUGAUGAAGUGUAUUAGUGAUAUGCACGAAGCACUGUGACUCCUGUAUCUCCCUUUGUGAGAUUGUCCAUGCCUUUGUUUGUGCUGUCAGUCAGUUGUUCUUUCUCUUGGGCAGCCACAUUGGUAACCACAGGAUCUACUUGCAAAUAGAUUUCUGUAAAACCAUAUUAUCCUUCAGCCCUUGGCUCCUUCUCCCCACCCCCCUUCCCGCAACAAUCUGGCCAUUCAUGUGGCAUGGCUCUCUUGCUGGCUUCUUUGUCAUACGUCUAGUGGUUUGUGUUUCAGGGAGGCCGCGUGAGAUAGUGCAAGGAACACUGGCCUGGGUGCCAGGAACCUUGAGUGCUUGCCCCAACUUGGACUUGGGACCUUGGAAAGUCACCUGGUUUUCUCCUCUGAAGCCUCGCUGAGAUCUACUCUAGCUUUGACUUGGAGUUUUUGAAUUUUGUUCAUUUACUCGUUCUUCACUUCUUUUUACCCUUCUGGAUGUGCUCUGCAUUAUUAUGGUUUUUGAGACUUUAUUUAUAUGGGGGCCAUGUUUCAGUCUUUGAACCCUGGGAAGGAUACAAAUUAAUUUUAAAUUAAGUAGAAAAUAGAUGCUUGUUUUAAAUUUUCUCUUGUAUUCAACUAGUAGAAUUGUGUUUUGUAAACCUGAAAUCAAAGCACCUUUGAUAUGUGCAUCUCUUUGUGGAUUUUGCGUUGAGCAGAGAAGGCAGCUGGAGACCAAAGCCCUGUUUUGAGAAGAAAGUAAGUUGGUUAGAGAGAGCACUCUACUCCUAGCUCUUUUUGGAAAGAUAAAAGUAUUUCAUUCUGUCCCUGGGGUAUGAUUUAGUGCAGCCUCAACUAUAUAUGAAGGCAAUGUUCAAAGAUACCACGUGGUCAUCUCAAAUAUAACACAGGUAUCACGGGCACAUCUUAAAAAAAAAAAAAGAGGCCAUAUAAUAUAGGGGCUGAAGAUGUCAGGUCUAGAGACAAAUGACCUUGGUUCACAUUCUCUACCACCUUACUUUGUGAGCUUGAACAAGUACUUGACUACUUUUUGCCUCAGUUUCGUCAUCUGUAAGGUGGUAGUUACAAUAAGGAUUGCCUUGGAGGAUUUUUGUGAAGGUUAUGUCGUAAAGUAUCAUAAAGGGCUUGGAGCAGGGCUUGGUGUGCCACAGUAAGCACUUCAAGGCAAGCUGAUCUUGAUAAUCUUUGUCACCAUCAUCAUUCCAAAGUUGGGGAUGUUCCUUGCAUCCCUUUUGUGAGGGAAGGACUGGGGGAUUCAGUUUUGGGGGUUGGAGCUCUCUGGGUUGACAGGGCUACCACACUGCAAGAAUUAAAUAUCGUCUCCUUUCUGAGUAGCACAGGGAAGCGGCCUUCCUAGGCCCAAGAUGCUUGAAACUCUCAUAGAUGUUUAAAUGGUUCUUUUAACUGAAGACUCUAGUAAGCAUUUCUAAACAGUUCAGAGGAGGAGGUUUUGACUCCAUGUCUAACGAACACAUUAGAACACAUGCCACCUACUCCUGUGGCUUGGUGGUGGAGCGGAGAGAGGAAAAUGUGCCCCUCAGCCCUAACCCUCUUCAUAGAACCUUCCUUUGAAGGGCUUUCUCUCCUCUGUACUCAUCCUUGUAUUUCUUGGCGCUCAGCACGCCUGCGUGUUGCAUAUGCUGCCCCCUCAGCUUUUAGCUAGAUAAUAAUGGGACUGAUUUUUUCUAGCAAUAAGUUUGAUCUAGUCUACAGAUUUGGGCAAGACAGGUGUACCUGAGGACUGCGAUGGUAUCCUUUCUGAAUAACCUAGGAACAAACAUGCCUCUUGAGAGCGAGUGUCUAACCUUGAGUGAGGAAAGCAUAAUCUGCCUAUUCACAGACCUUAUCACAGUUUCAUGUGAAAUAACAACCCUGGUCAUCUGGUGACUCUGCCUUCUUCCUGGAACCCCCCACUGAGUGAAAAUGACCGAAUCAUUGGGAACGAUAUCAUCACCAAAUAUAUUGUGAUGAAGUCUCUGAAGUGGAAAGGCAAGCCUUAAUCUUUUUGUACAUUGUCAUUUGUUUAUUCUUAAAUUUCUCUUAGAAAUAAAUGUGGUACCUGGUGGAUCAGUGGGGUUCUGAGACUUUGUGGACAGAAAUGUGGGGAUUCAUAGAUAAGACUGCAGAGGACCCAUUAUGACUUCGCAUAUGUAAAAUUUCACUGUUCAACGUUGCUUUUAAGCAUUUUGGACAAGAGAAGAAUCAAAAGUUGUGGGUUUUUAAUUUUCCUUACAAAGAAAUAACAAAAUAUGUGCUAUUGAAAACUGUGGGUAAGCUCUCUGACUCACAGGCAGUUGGAAGGGGAGAGGGUACUUGAAUUAUUUGGUUGAGGAUUUAUGGCUGAAAGUGACAGUAGCCUGAAGUCAAGUUUGCCUGCGUGUGGGUAGAAGCUUCCUGAAGGAAGACUUGGAGGGUGGAACAGUGGUAGGGGGCCUCUGCUUUCCUGCAGCACAGCUACCUUCUCCUUCCACUUCUCUUGACCAGUACAACAUAAUGUUAGUGUCUUCUAACUUCUGUGGCAUAGACUGAAUUGCCACCAAACUGCCACAUGCUAAUGAUUCUCCAUUUACACAAACUCUGUUGUAUCCUAAGGUCUCUCUUUGUGUGGGGGCUUCCAUUGAGAACAAUCUGGAUUUAGUAAUACACUUAAUUGAAAGGUUUAAUAAGAACUUAGGACUUUGUUUUCUUUUGUGACUUGGAAAAGACAGUAAUCUUAAGAAAGCCAGAUGUGAAUGUUUUUAACAAGAGAAUUUUCACUUUCCUUGUACCUUCCAAAGCAUGAGAAUUCUCCUUUGAAGAUGUUAAUUUUGUAAGAAUAUUAUCAACAAUAUAAAGGCUGAAGAGUAGUUGAAUUUGCCUGUAGAAGAGCAGGCUAAAAACACGGAAGGCACUUCAUGAAAUCAUGAAUUACUAUGAUUUAAAUUACAGAGUUUCAUAUGGACCCCUGAACAUUGAUUUCUCAGGAACGUUAUGCAGGGUAUUAUGGGAGGGAGGUAUGAAAUGUCACUUGAUGAGCUUGACUCAAAAAGUGUUCAUUUGAAGUUUGAUUCCUUAUUCAACCACCAAAACUGAUUGAUAGGGACGUGGAUCUCCAAUUGACUUUAAUUUCUGCUCCAUGAAUCUUCCAUGAACUCACUGAGAGUCUAAGAUGCGGUUGUAAAGCUUGGAAAGUUUGGGUUUCUGUGUGUAGUUCAGGUAACCUCCAAGCACCGAUCCCCAGUUGCAAUCAUCCAAGUAGCGUUGAGAAGAGGAAAAAAAAAAAGUCAUUUGCUUUCAGUUUCUAUGAGGUAGGGUGAAAGAUGCUGUAACCAGGUAAGGUAACACUUAAAGUAUUACAACUUUUAAGUCAAGAACGUCAGAAUUGUCAUGUGACAUGUGAUAUGUGAUAUGCACGUAGAUAAACAGAGCCUUUUUAAGCACAAAUUCUGGUAGACUAGAUUUAGUAUGGGUGGGAUAGGCCUGGGAGGUGAGUGAAUUCUAUCUGAACAAAAAAGAUUUCAGAGAAGCACUAAUUAUCACAAUAGGAUGUUAGAAUUCACUACCCAAGAUAGGAGAGGUUGAAAACAUAUCAUAAAAAAAGAAAAUAUGUCAUAAAUCAGGUGGUAUUUCCACCAUCAGCUGUACCCCAGCAAGACUCUGUCGGCUGUGAAUUUAUCUGUCAUCAUUUGAGGACAACUUAUGUUUUCAGCCUUGUUAUAAUUUUGUAAGUUUAUCCUAGUCUCAUGGAAAACUUUAUCCGUAUUUACUCUUUCAUUAAAUAGUACCUAUUCAUUUUAGUCCAGACCCCAAAGACUUCCUCCCCUAUGCAACCUCUGAGCUUAGGAGUCUAGGAAGGACAGAAGGACUGUCUUUGGAUAGUUGUCUUUUUGUCUACUUGUCCUAGGGGUCUGUCUAAUCCCUUUCACCGUCUUGGUCUUCUGUUGUAUAAAAAUAAAAGGUAACUUUCCGUGACCCUAAACAAAGCAUGAACUGCUUGAAGUAAAAAAAGCUGGAUCUCAACAUCGUCUAUAAACCAGGCCCCUCAUGGGCAGAUCACAAAAAUGUCCGAAGAAAAUUAUGCAGUAAGGAAAACUGGCCUCAGUUUUAAAAAAACGAGUGACUCUUUAUUUGCAGGAAGAAUGGAGACCUCUAUUUAAUGUAAGUCCUUUGGUCACUGAGAUGUGUCAGAAAACUUGCCCUUUAUUCUGACGUGCCGUGGUGUUAGCAUUGAAAUGUAAAAAUAAUAAACAGCUGACAUUUUAAGCACAGACUAAACAGCAAGCAAAUGACAUUACCUCCAAGCUCUUGAGAGAGUUACAAGAUGAUGAGCUGCCAAAGGAAGAAAAGGGAGAAAUGGUCACAAAACCUUUGUUUGUGGUAGAGGAAUUGUCAGUGUUUAAUGCCGUCCGCCCACGUCUUACUUGAGGGAGGUUUUGUUUGUAUGGAAAAUUGGUUUUCAGUUUGACUUUGCAUAAAGCAGUAUGAAUGGCAGAAGAUACAUAUGGUUCCAAAAUUCAUUAUUGCUUUUGCUCAUUAGUCGUUGAUGACUAUGUUAAUGCCACCAGUGCGUACUGUCUGUCUGCCGUGUGUCCUGGGGAAAUACCGCGGCGGGAUACGGCGGUGACGAACGCCAGCUUUCUCUUCCCCCCUCUUCCCUUCCUUUUCCUUUCUUCCUCUUACUGUCUUUCUUUUCUCAUUUUCUUUGGGCUUCUUGUAUAUUUUCUUGUCCUGAGUCAAAUGUCAAUACAACUCUCUUUACCUAAGAGUUUUGGUGAAAUUUAUUUGGUAUCCAUCUAAUAUGUGUCACCUUCCUUCAGACCAAAUGUGCACAGGAUCUGACCAUCUGGGGGACAGUUAGUCAUUUUGAGGAUGCAGGUGGGAAACACACCUGUAGUUAGUCACUUACAGGGGCGCUUGUCUAUACUGAAAUGAUUUGCAGGUGUUAAGCAUGUGCUUAUGAAAAAGGGAAAUAAGUAUUUGGGGUCCAGGAGAAAAUUUGCCUCUCAAUUUAAUAUUAUUUACCCUCUUCUCUAUCUCUUGGUUACUUGGGAAACAAACACAUACACUUUUAACUUAAUGUCCUGAAUGGCUGCAAUGAGGAGAUAGAAAUGCAGCUUUGGCUGUUUUAUGUGGUUCAUAAAAGCAUUCUCUCUGGCUCCGAGGAUCCAUUUAUAUUUAGGCUUUAUAGAAACAAUGCUGUAAAGUUUUUUUUUCAGUCUUGAGGACAACAUUGCUUAUUAAAAUCUGUGAUGUGUAGUAUUUUAAUACAUGUUAGCCACAUUUUUUAAGGCCGUUAUAUAGCUGUGAGCCUUGCUAGUGUUCCUAAUAAAGAACAAAAUUAUCUAAACUGUUUGAUGAUUACUAGUGAGUAUUGGUAAACUCCUUCAUGAGCUUUCCUGAAAGCAUAUUAACCAUAUGUCAUGUACCGUGGCAUAAAAAAAUAGAAGCAGUGAGAAAUUCAGCAACCAGGAUCCCCACGCUCUGUGGACAUCAAAUUUGGCAGAUUUUGAAAAUUCUGUGAUCAUUUUUCUCCUUAUGUGACACUACUCUUGUUCAUUCUUCAAAAACAUUUGCCCUAGCGUGGGGAAUUAUAGAUAAUUUGAUGCAACAGGUUUAAGUUACCAUUUUCAUAGUGAAAAGAAUAGCUUAGCAUGAUCCCGAUUUUCCUUGGUUUCCUCCCAUUCUCAAAAGAAGCAGAGGUAUUCACAUUUCUUUGUCUAACAGUUUUAUAAUGUCUUAAGAGAUUAACAGUGAGCAUGAAUGAGGGCCUACGGAUUAGACAACAAAAAGCCUGGGACGUCCACUACCUUACUUGCAAAUUUUACAUUUUCCAGCAUUGCUGAGAGA
Felis catus (domestic cat) is the source of this 10359-nucleotide long non-coding RNA. RefSeq lists it as uncharacterized. The transcript is spliced from 2 exons. The record is from RefSeq and is a predicted model, not a curated record. NCBI's taxonomy places the organism in Eukaryota, Metazoa, Chordata, Mammalia, Carnivora, Felidae.